RNAcentral lists this ribosomal RNA (1639 nucleotides) under human oral metagenome. RNAcentral's name for it is "bacterial LSU rRNA". It matches the Rfam family "Bacterial large subunit ribosomal RNA", at positions 829 to 2483 of the family's 2925-position model. The record is from RNAcentral.
CCAAUCGAACUCGGAUAUAGCUGGUUCUCCUCGAAAUAGCUUUAGGGCUAGCCUCAAGGUAAAGAUACACGGGGGUAGAGCACUGACUGUUCGCGGGGCCUUCACCGGUUACCAACAACUAUCAAACUCCGAAUACCGUGCUAUCAUACUUGGGAGUCAGACUAUGAGAGAUAAGUUCCAUGGUCGAAAGGGAAACAGCCCAGAUCAACAGCUAAGGUCCCAAAGAGUAAGUUAAGUGGAAAAGGAUGUGGGAUUGCACAAACAGCUAGGAUGUUGGCUUAGAAGCAGCCAUACAUUUAAAGAGUGCGUAAUAGCUCACUAGUCGAGUGAUCCUGCGCCGAAGAUAAACGGGGCUCAAACUUACCACCGAAGCUUUGGAAUUAGUAUAACUAAUUGGUAGAGGAGCAUUCUAUACAGGUAGAAGGAGGCGCGUAAGCAAAUCUGGACGGUAUAGAAGAGAGAAUGUUGGCAUGAGUAGCGUAAGGCGGGUGAGAAUCCCGUCCGCCGAAAAUCUAAGGUUUCCUGAGGAAGGUUCGUCCUCUCAGGGUAAGUCGGGACCUAAGCCGAGAGCGAACGCUGUAGGCGAUGGAUAACAGGUUGAUAUUCCUGUACCACCAAGGAUUGUUUGAAUGAAGUGGGGACACAGAAGGAUAGAUUGAGCACGCCGUUGGUUGAGCGUGUCCAAGCAGUGAGGCUUGAAAGUAGGCAAAUCCGCUUUCUAUAAGGUUGAGCUGUGAUGGGGUGGUCGUAUGACCGGUAGCAAUCGAUUUCACGCUGUCAAGAAAAGCCGCUAAUGAGAUCCAAGGUGCCCGUACCGCAAACCGACACAGGUAGAUGAGGAGAGAAUCCUAAGGUGAGCGAGAGAACUAUUGUUAAGGAACUCGGCAAAAUAACCCCGUAACUUCGGGAGAAGGGGUGCCUGCUUCGGCAGGCCGCAGUGAAGAGGUCCAGGCAACUGUUUACCAAAAACACAGGUCUCUGCUAAAGCGAAAGCUGAUGUAUAGGGGCUGACGCCUGCCCGGUGCUGGAAGGUUAAGGGGAAGUGUUAGGGCAACCGAAGCACAGAACUUAAGCCCCAGUAAACGGCGGCCGUAACUAUAACGGUCCUAAGGUAGCGAAAUUCCUUGUCGGGUAAGUUCCGACCCGCACGAAAGGCGUAAUGAUCUGGGCACUGUCUCAACAAUAGACUCGGUGAAAUUGUAGUACCGGUAAAGAUGCCGGUUACCCGCAGCAGGACGGAAAGACCCCGUGGAGCUUCACUGUAGCUUGAUAUUGAUUUUCGGCAUUGCAUGUACAGGAUAGGUGGGAGACGUUGAGUUCAGCACGCCAGUGUUGGAGGAGUCACCGUUGGGAUACCACCCUUGUAAUGUUGGAAAUCUAACCUAGUACCGUGAUCCGGUACAGGGACAGUGUCAGGUGGGCAGUUUGACUGGGGCGGUCGCCUCCUAAAGAGUAACGGAGGCGCCCAAAGGUUCCCUCAGCGCGGUCGGAAAUCGCGCGUAGAGUGCAAAGGCAGAAGGGAGCUUGACUGCGAGACAUACAAGUCGGGCAGGGACGAAAGUCGGGCUUAGUGAUCCGGUGGUUCCGAGUGGAAGGGCCAUCGCUCAACGGAUAAAAGCUACCCCGGGGAUAACAGGCU